Crotalus tigris (Tiger rattlesnake) is the source of this 755-nucleotide long non-coding RNA. RefSeq lists it as uncharacterized. Lineage: Eukaryota; Metazoa; Chordata; Lepidosauria; Squamata; Viperidae. The transcript has 2 exons. The record is from RefSeq and is a predicted model, not a curated record.
UCUUAGUGGAAUGGAGGUCCAGAAGGAGAACUAAGAAUCACAGUCUCCUUAUUCCCCACUUCGUUAGCUCCUGCCACCUGCUCUCCUCAAAAGGCUGAUGCAACAGGCAAGAGAGGUUGGGGAGGGGACUCCCAGGGGCUGUCGGCUGCCAAAGCAACUGGAGCCGGUAUCAGCUUAGGCCUUCUGGGACCAAACAGGCACCACCUGCUUUCACUGAAGCUCAGUUUACCUGUAAAAUAAGUUGGACAAGGUUAGGGCAGCGGUGCUUCCAAGCCUGCACAGACCCAUCAGUCACUAUCUAGUCAGGUGGUUAUAUCAUUCUAUUUGGAAAAUCCACAAACUAUUUCCCUCGUCUCUGAAUGCUCCAUUCAAAGGGCCGAAACGUGAGCCUUGCUUUUUCUGUCCCCUUCACCACAACGUUGACAUCGAUCUGGUUUAGCUACAGGAGGCUGCAUUUCCACUCCAGAAUGCCUAUGCAUGCUUAACUCUCACUGUGGACACAUAAGAAAAGAUAUACCAGAAUCGGAAUUGGGCAGAAAGGCAGAACUGGACAGGAAGAUGGUCAGGAAGAUUUAAUUGACAUGAAUAGUCUCUAUUCAUCACAGAAUGCAAAGACCUUCGUGCUCAAGGAAUCACCCAUACCUUGGUGUCUUUAUGACUUGCUGACUUUCAGAUGAUGGAUGACAGAAAUCGUGGCCAUUCAGGAUUAUUUGUCCAAGAUUAUUUAUUGAAUAAAAAUGGGGGAAGAAUCUGGA